CCUACGGGUGGCAGCAGUGGGGGAUAUUGCACAAUGGGGGGAACCCUGAUGCAGCGACGCCGCGUGGGUGAAGGAGUGCUUCGGCAUGUAAAGCCCUAUCGGCAGGGAAGAAGCAAGACGGUACCUGACUAAGAAGCCCCGGCUAACUACGUGCCAGCAGCCGCGGUAAUACGUAGGGGGCGAGCGUUAUCCGGAUUCACUGGGUGUAAAGGGAGCGUAGACGGCCAUGCAAGCCAGGGGUGAAAGCCCGGGGCCCAACCCCGGGACUGCCCUUGGAACUGUGCGGCUAGAGUGCGGGAGGGGCAGGCGGAAUUCCUGGUGUAGCGGUGAAAUGCGUAGAUAUCAGGAGGAACACCGGCGGCGAAGGCGGCCUGCUGGACCGCGACUGACACUAAGGCACGAAAGCGUAGGGAGCAAACGGGAUUAGAUACCCGGGUAGUC
Molecule: ribosomal RNA, 441 nt
Filed under: uncultured bacterium
Lineage: Bacteria
Description: partial 16S ribosomal RNA
Rfam family: Bacterial small subunit ribosomal RNA
Source: RNAcentral